This 437-nucleotide long non-coding RNA is filed under the name Capra hircus (goat). RNAcentral's name for it is "lncRNA (ENSCHIG00010008723.1)". Lineage: Eukaryota; Metazoa; Chordata; Mammalia; Artiodactyla; Bovidae. The record is from RNAcentral.
GAAACAUAAAAAUCUCCCGUGUGCAUUUAUCAACUAAUGAGACAAUAUUUUUCAGCUAAUUCUUUCUGCAGUGCUGGAAUGGAGAGGUGGGGUCGUGUGGCCUUUCUCACUAUGCUGGGUACAGGGCCUGUGAGUACCACAGUUAUGAUUAUUUCUCCUUAUUAUUAAUAGAAGUGCUUGAAAUCAACUCCUUCCAGUGGAAAAUUUAAUUGUCUGAAUCAAGGCCAUCCUCUACAGGCCAUCUGUCUUCAUGGCUGUGAUUAAACUCUGACAAAAAGUGAUGCCUUGGGCUUCUUGCUUCAGAAAGUAACUUGAGUGAAAUUGACCCCUGAACUCCAACUUCAUUAAAAUAAGGAAAAAUACUGUGAGUCCAUCAGAUAAAAAGACAUGGACUUCCCUGGUGGUCCAGUGGUUAAGAAUCCACCUGCCAAUGCAGG